UAACACGAGUGGGUCACGAAUGUGUGGAUUUGUGUCAUUCGUAACUACUCGCCUCUUUCCGUGACCUACAACCGGAAUGACACGAGUAGUUAGGAAUGUGGACUUGUCAGACUUACUUCUGGGGUCAGUUGAUUUCUUCGAGUUACGCCAUUCUCACUCGCGAUAUUUGUCACCAUUUGCUUGGAUUUGAUGAGUGCAUUUAACUAAACCUAUACGAUCGGAACAACAGAUUUGAUCGGAUCAAGGAGUACGAUGUGCGUCUCGCUCUGUCGCCUUAUAUUUUCAGGGCGAUAUAGCGAUGACCCUAAUCAGUCACCAUACUGCAGCAUGUGGGAGUUUUAUUUUGCUGGUAUCAAUGCGUUAGGGGAGAACAAGUUUGAUUUGAUGUGGGAUUAUUACAUUUCAAUGACUGAAGAUGUAAGUGGCGGGACAGAGUCAUGGAUUUCACACACACCUGGUAUGGCCACAGUGACUACCGUGUAUCUGACGCCUGAGACGAAGAGGCCACGUAGAGGCCGAAACCACGCCCCGUGAUUGCGAAAUGUAUCUUCACACAUAACGGGGACGCUGUCAAAAGCUCCCGACGAUAAUUCAAAGGCAGGCCAUUUCCAUGUAUGGAACAGCUCCAAGGACUUGGUGUUAAUGCCACUGUUGAGGGAAGCGAGCUCUUAGAACAUCUAAGUGUUUAUAUCGGUUGACAAACUGUACGUAGAAAACGUCCUCCAAAUGUUGCCUGGACCACCCCCUUACAACAACUCACAACAGAGCUCCGAUACAACCACAGCAGGAACGAGGCUCAAGCAGGAAAUCGUCAUUGGACAUGUAUCAAAUACGACGCCAUAUGAAACCCGUGUACGGAUGUAAACUGGAUUAUUCAUCUGAAAGACUCGAAGGAUGAACAUACUGAGACAGUUUCUGGCAAUGGUUAUACUGAGAACAAUUGGCCUUUCAGCAGGCUAAACAUGUGAGUUUUUGUAAAGAUAUUACAACAAGAACUGUGAAUGAAUUUCAUCACUGUGAACAAUAUCUCGACUAUGAUAUUCUCAGAAAAUAAACCUGUGAGUGCUCCUAUAUUGCCAAAAGCUGAAAACCUAUAAUUGCCGGUAUCAUAGAACCAUCUUGUAAUAACGCUACUCCACACGGAUAGAUCUUAUGAAAUAUAACUGUGACACUGUACAAAUGGCGAGUAACUUUUUAUCAUCCCGAGUUCCAUAUCGAAAUAAAAGGCGUAUUAUAUUAA
Molecule: long non-coding RNA, 1240 nt
Filed under: Haliotis rubra (blacklip abalone)
Lineage: Eukaryota; Metazoa; Mollusca; Gastropoda; Lepetellida; Haliotidae
Description: uncharacterized LOC124284945
Source: RNAcentral